This 1782-nucleotide long non-coding RNA is filed under the name Drosophila guanche. Lineage: Eukaryota; Metazoa; Arthropoda; Insecta; Diptera; Drosophilidae. The record is from RNAcentral.
CGCCAGAUUACAGCCCUGACCCCAGAGCAUCCCUCUACGAGGCAGCUGUGGCGGGACAAAAGGCAGCUGCAGCUGCAGCUGCAGUUACAGGGCCUGCUUAUGGCCUGUCGGAUUGAGGCCCUACCUGAAGAAGGGCUCUGCUGCAGCCGUGCGUGUUCAGUUCGAGUCGAUACCUUGCCGAAAGAUGCCACAUUUGCAGCGACUGGAACCGUAUUUGCCGCCAAGCUGGGCCAGGCAUCCCAUCCGCCUCGCAAGAAGGCUCUGGCGCCGCUGCACCCAACUGUCGCGUAGUCCAAAGUUCCAGCGAUACGUGAGGUAAGAGAAAUGUCUUCCAUUCCCUCCCGCAAGAGCCAUACCCAAAUCAUUUGAUUGCUUCAGAUUUCUACAAUCAAACCUCUGCCCCGUCUAGUCUGUGCGGCAUUACAUUGGUGGAGAGGAGAUCGGAGCACGUUCAGCGCAUGACAGCAUUUGGCUGCAAACGUUCUGUGAUUCCACCAAAAAUGCGCAGCAAUUCGGAAUUUGUUGCUGCUGCUGCUGCUCUCUGCGGAUUUGGCUACUCAGGGAGUCGCCGCACGUAGACAGAGGGGUUGAUGGAUGCCAAAAUUAAGCACACACUGCGCAUUAUUUAUACCCCAUUAGGCCCAAAAGAAAUGGCCAACGACCUUCACCCACUCCAAAGCAGCAGCCGAUCCCAGAGUACUAUUGGGAGGAAGGCUGGAAGGAGAUCUACUCCUCACCAUGGUCCAGAGAGGUCCAUCUGCAUGCCAAUGAAUUGAUGACGACAGGGGGAUCGAACGGGGCAAUACCGUUUCCCCGGCUGGGGAUCUACCCAAUCUCAAACAGUAGCCCCAGCAGAGACAUGCUGACCACCAUGGGGAAAACACAGCGAGACGCUACGAGAACGCUGCCAGUGCAAUAAAUACUUGGCGCAAAUAUUCAUCAGCAUUCAGUCUCGUUCCAAGUCUCGGCCCGAGCGUGCCAGUACAGAUUGUCAGUCGAUUGUCGAACCCGUUGCCCCAGCGAAAUACUCUGAAAAUGUUCACCUCUAUCAGAUCUCACCAGCAUCGCGCCGUCGGCCUCAUCUUACGGGCCCUCGUCGCUGGCAGCCUGCUCAUCCUGAUGAGUGCCAUCCACCAGGACACCGACGACUCCGGCUCCCACUACAUCCACCCGCGUCACGCGAUGCAAUAGCCUUGCAUCAAAGAUAACUCAGUUUUAGCGUUUAGCUUAAGUGCAACUAAAUUCUAAUCAACAGUUCACAGUCCGUUUCCUGAUGGUCGCGAUGAUCGUGACUGCGCUCACCUACUAGUAAAAGAUGUAAAUAAUAACCGGUUCCGGCCAGUGCGACAGUGGGUUUCCCUGAUGCAGGGGAGGCUAAAAAUGUCGUUUAAUUAUUACAUAUAAUCGCUGCCUAAUGCAUUUGUAACUGUCCAAUAACUCGUUGGCUAUGCAUGAAGCAGCUCAACUCUCUCGUGUGCCAAUUCUAAGUGUGUUUAUUUAUUUAUUUGUUUAUCUAAGCGGCAGAAGCACAUGUGUGCCAGCCACCGAAUAUCUUUCUCUUUCCUUGACACAGUUUAUUAUUAAGUUCUAUACUUAACAAGUUAAGAAGUGGAAUAUUGUAUGUAACUCUUCUCUUAUUUGAAAAAUAUAACAUAAAAUAUGCAAAACAUAAAGUAUAACGUUGUGAGAAUCUUUUAGCCAAGUAUUGGGAAUAAAAUGAGUAAAGGUUUCUGCGCUCAUCUCCCACCUCUCACGGUUUAAAAAAAACAACAUUUUCAAAAC